AAGGGCACCACAAGAACGCGUGGAGCAUGUGGUUUAAUUUGACUCAACGCGGGAAAUCUUACCGGGUCCGGACACACUGAGGAUUGACAGGCGUUUGUGGUUAGUCGUAGUAUUUCAACCUCGGUUGUUUGCUGCGCUUUCCACUAUAAAUAUGCUAGUCCUUUCAUGAUUGUGUGAUAGGUGGUGCAUGGCCGUUCUUAGUUCGUGGAGUGAUCUGUCUGCUUAAUUGCGUUUCACAAAGAACUCUUUAACUUUUGCCUGUUGCGCGGCAUUCGUGCUCUCUGAGCCGGUGUCUGUGCACGGUAAAGAAAAAGUUCUGAAGGCAACGAACGUGACCGCAACCUCUUGUUGCCUCCUUUUUUAUAAAACAUGAGUUGGUAUCUCGUUUGACCCCUUUGUUGGGGACUCACAGUGCCAUCUCUGCAUGGAGUUUGCUAACUAGAGGGACCGCUGACAACUUUUAAAACAGAGGAAGGUUGCGGCAAUAACAGGUCUGUGAUGCCCUUAGAUGUUCCGGGCUGCACACGUGCUACAAUGAUUAUUGCAGUGAGCAUCUAACUAAAAAAGCUUGAGUUUGUGUUUGGUGUGCUCUCUGAGUGUACCUUACAUGACUCGGCUACUGACCUGCUUCGAAAGUAAGCAGGUAAUCAAUUCGAAGUAAUGAUUUCCUUUCGCACAUACUUAUAUCUCUUGCUUGUAGGCUAGCCUGUCCUUGUGGCAUGGUUUUGUUUCUACCUUGAGAUAUGUGCUCCAUUAAUUCAUGGUGGGGACAGGCCAUUGUUAAUUGUUGGUCUCGGUCUCAACUAGGAAUGCCUUGUACGGGUCUUUGGUUCAACAAACCACCCGGAAUAUGUCCCUGCCCUUUGUACACACCGCCCGUCGCUCUUACCGAUGGACUUCUCUAUGAGUUUGGGGGACUGGCUUGUCUAUUUAUAGACAGCUAUGGAAACCUAAACGAAUAGUGUGGUCUAAAGGAAAGAGAAGUCGUAACAAGGCAUCGGUAGGUGAACCUGCAGAAGGAUCA
This 1024-nucleotide ribosomal RNA is filed under the name Psammophaga sp. 9495. Its description in RNAcentral is "bacterial SSU rRNA". It matches the Rfam family "Eukaryotic small subunit ribosomal RNA", at positions 1160 to 1828 of the family's 1831-position model. Lineage: Eukaryota; Foraminifera. The record is from RNAcentral.